AUCCGUUCACUCUGUUUUUAUGAAGUUGUCGUUGUUGAAUCCAACAAAAGCUCAAGGUCCAGAUGGCCUCCCGGCCUGGCUACUGAAGGAGAAUGCAGACCUUCUUGCAGAACCUAUAGCAGAAAUUAUAAACAGCUCCUUCCGCGAAAGUAGGUUACCACCAUCAUGGAAAGAAGCGGAUAUAGUUCCAGUACCGAAACAAAGAAUAGUAAAAGACGUCAGCAAACACUUAAGACCAAUUUCCCUCACGCCAAUACUUUCUAAAGUAUUUUCUUCAUCAUACAAGAAUAUGUCAAACCGGCGGUUUUAAAAAAGAUUAAAAGUAACCAAUUUGGCUCAAUUCCAAAAUCAUCGACAACCCAGGCUUUGAUCAGCAUGAUACACACAUGGAGCAAGUAUACGGACGGAACUGGCUCUACAGUCAGAGUGGUUGUUUUCGAUUUCAGGAAAGCUUUCGACCUAAUCGAUCACAAUAUAUUGGUUCGAAAGCUAAAAUAUCUAAAUAUCGCCCAUAAUAUUAUCAGUUGGAUCGUUGAUUUCCUGAAAUGCCGCAAACAAAGGGUAAAAUUGUCACAGGACUGUAAAUCGGAAUGGAAAAAUGUGCCGGCAGGAGUUCCCCAAGGAACAAAGUUAGGGCCUUGGUUGUUCGUGUUGAUGAUUGACGAUAUAGACACCACCAAUACAGACUUGUGGAAAUAUGUGGACGAUACCACAGCCGCUGAGAUGGUAGAAAAAGGAGAGACAAGUAAGAUCCAGAAUAUAGUAAAUGAAUUAACGGAAAAAACGUAUAGGAACAAAUUCCAGUUUAAUGAGAAGAAAUGCAAAGAGCUUCGGAUUUCUUUUACAAAAAAUCACCCUGAAUACGCACCUAUUGUUAUCAAUGAUAAAUCAAUAGAAAUUGUGACUACCAUCAAAUUACUGGGUCUGAACAUUUCCAAUAAUCUUAAAUGGAACCAUCAUAUAGAGGAAAUUGCAAAAAAAGCUUCCACUCGGUUGUAUUUCCUGAGGCAACUAAAACGUGCCAAAGUUGCCGAAAAGGAACUUUUAACUUUCUACAAGACUUG
Molecule: non-coding RNA, 1064 nt
Organism: Paramuricea clavata
Lineage: Eukaryota; Metazoa; Cnidaria; Anthozoa; Malacalcyonacea; Plexauridae
Source: the annotation of a GenBank genome assembly